This 2475-nucleotide long non-coding RNA is filed under the name Oncorhynchus mykiss (rainbow trout). RNAcentral's name for it is "lncRNA (ENSOMYG00000052618.1)". Lineage: Eukaryota; Metazoa; Chordata; Actinopteri; Salmoniformes; Salmonidae. The record is from RNAcentral.
AUGGAGGACCCCUGCCUUGGCACCUUCUCCCCAAGGUGCUCUGCACACUUUAAUUCUCUUGCUCUCUCAUCACCCCCUAUGCCCGUCAUCCCUCUAUCCCUCUCACCCCCUAUGCCUGUCAUCCCUCUAUCCCUCUCACUCCCUAUGCCCGUCAUCCCUCUAUCCCUCUCACUCCCUAUGCCCGUCAUCCCUCUAUCCCUCUCACUCCCUAUGCCCAUCAUUCCUCUAUCCCUCACUCCCUAUGCCCGUCAUCACUCUCUCUCAUCACUCCCUAUGCCCGUCAUCACUCUCUCUCAUCACUCCCUAUGCCCGUCAUCCCUCUCACUCCCUAUGCCCGUCAUCCCUCUUUCCCUCUCACUCCCUAUGCCCGUCAUCCCUCUAUCCCUCUCACUCCCUAUGCCCGUCAUCACUCUCUCUCAUCACUCCCUAUGCCCGUCAUCACUCUCUCUCAUCACUCCCUAUGCCCGUCAUCCCUCUCACUCCCAAUGCCCGUCAUCCCUCUCUCUCAUCACUCCCUAUGCCCGUCAUCACUCUCUCUCAUCACUCCCUAUGCCCGUCAUCACUCUAUCCCUCUCAUUCCCUAUGCCCGUCAUCCCUCUAUCCCUCUCACUCCCUAUGCCCGUCAUCACUCUAUCCCUCUCACUCCCUAUGCCCGUCAUCCCUCUCACUCCCUAUGCCCGUCAUCCCUCUAUCCCUCUCACUCCCUAUGCCCGUCAUCCCUCUAUCCCUCUCACUCCCUAUGCCCGUCAUCCCUCUCACUCCCUAUGCCCGUCAUCCCUCUAUCCCUCUCACUCCCUAUGCCCGUCAUCACUCUCUCUCAUCACCCCCUAUGCCCGUCAUCCCUCUCACUCCCUAUGCCUGUCAUCCCUCUAUCCCUCUCACUCCCUAUGCCCGUCAUCCCUCUAUCCCUCUCACUCCCUAUGCCCGUCAUCCCUCUAUCCCUCUCACUCCCUAUGCCCUCUAUCCCUCUCACUCCCUAUGCCCAUCAUCCCUCUCACUCCCUAUUCCCGUCAUCACUCUCUCUCAUCACUCCCUAUGCCCGUCAUCACUCCCUAUGCCCGUCAUCCCUCUAUCCCUCUCACUCCCUAUGCCCUCUAUCCCUCUCACUCCCUAUGCCCGUCAUCCCUCUAUCCCUCUCACUCCCUAUGCCCGUCAUUCCUCUCACUCCCUAUAACCGUCAUCCCUCUAUCCCUCUCACUCCCUAUGCCCGUCAUCCCUCUAUCCCUCUCACUCCCUAUGCCCGUCACCCCUCUCACUCCCUAUGCCCGUCAUCACUCUCUCUCAUCACCCCCUAUGCCCGUCAUCCCUCUAUCCCUCUCACCCCCUUUGCCCGUCAUCCCUCUAUCCCUCUCACUCCCUAUGCCCGUCAUCCCUCUCACUCCCUAUGCCCGUCAUCCCUCUAUCCCUCUCACUCCCUAUGCCCGUCAUCCCUCUAUCGCUCUCACUCCCUAUGCCCGUCAUCCCUCUGUCCCUCACUCCCUAUGCCCGUCAUCCCUCUAUCCCUCACUCCCUAUGCCCAUCAUCCCUCUAUCCCUCUCACUCCCUAUGCCCGUCAUCCCUCUAUCCCUCUCACUCCCUAUGCCCGUCAUCCCUCUAUCCCUCUCACUCCCUAUGCCUGUCAUCCCUGUAUCCCUCUCACUCCCUAUGCCCGUCAUCCCUCUCACUCCCUAUGCCCGUCAUCCCUCUAUCCCUCUCACCCCCUAUGCCUGUCAUCCCUCUAUCCCUCUCACUCCCUAUGCCCGUCAUCCCUCUAUCCCUCUCACUCCCUAUGCCCGUCAUCCCUCUAUCCCUCACUCCCUAUGCCCGCCAUCCCUCUAUCCCUCUCACUCCCUAUGCCCAUCAUCCCUCUAUCCCUCACUCCCUAUGCCCGUCAUCACUCUUUCCCUCUCACUCCCUAUGCCCGUCAUCCCUCUCACUCCCUAUGCCCGUCAUCCCUCUAUCCCUCUCACUCCCUAUGCUCGUCAUCCCUCUAUCCCUCUCACUCCCUAUGCUCGUCAUCCCUCUAUCCCUCUCACUCCCUAUGCCCGUCAUCCCUCUAUCCCUCUCACUCCCUAUGCCCGUCAUCCCUCUAUCCCUCUCACUCCCUAUGCCUGUCAUCCCUGUAUCCCUCUCACUCCCUAUGCCCGUCAUCCCUCUAUCCCUCUCACUCCCUAUGCCCGUCAUUCCUCUCACUCCCUAUGCCCGUCAUCCCUCUAUCCCUCUCACCCCCUAUGCCCGUCAUCCCUCUAUCCCUCUCACUCCCUAUGCCCGUCAUCCCUCUAUCCCUCUCACUCCCUAUGCCCGUCAUCUCUCUCUCAUCACUCCCUAUGCCCGUCAUCACUCCCUAUGCCCGUCAUCCCUCUAUCCCUCUCACUCCCUAUGCCCGUCAUCUCUCUCACUCCCUAUGCCUGUCAUCCCUCUAUCCCUCUCACUCCCUAUGCCCGUCAUCACUCUAUCCCUCUGUUUUUGUCUCCCACCUCCAACUUCGCAGUAUAA